GACGAACGCUGGCGGCGUGCUUAACACAUGCAAGUCGAACGGAAAGGCCUGCUUUCCCUUGUGGAUUGCGGAUACUCGAGUGGCGAACGGGUGAGUAACACGUGAGUGAUCUGCCCCCAACUUGGGUAUAAGCCUGGGAAACUGGGUCUAAUUCCCGAUAGGACUGCAGGGUGGUGCCUGUGGUGGAAAACGAUUUUCUAGUGGUUGGGGAUGAGCUCGCGGCCUAUCAGCUUGUUGGUGGGGUAAUGGCCUACCAAGGCGGCGACGGGUAGCCGGCCUGGGAGGGUGGACGGCCACAUUGGGACUGAGAUACGGCCCAGACUCCUACGGGAGGCAGCAGUGGGGAAUAUUGCACAAUGGGCGGAAGCCUGAUGCAGCGACGCCGCGUGGGGGAUGACGGCCUUCGGGUUGUAAACUCCUUUCGACCGCGAGGAAGCCACCUGGUUGGAAGGGUGGUGACGGUAGUGGUAGAAGAAGCACCGGCUAACUACGUG
This 494-nucleotide ribosomal RNA is filed under the name uncultured bacterium. Its description in RNAcentral is "partial 16S ribosomal RNA". It matches the Rfam family "Bacterial small subunit ribosomal RNA", at positions 28 to 507 of the family's 1533-position model. The record is from RNAcentral.